This is a long non-coding RNA of Pelodiscus sinensis (Chinese soft-shelled turtle), 1837 nucleotides long. RefSeq lists it as uncharacterized. Lineage: Eukaryota; Metazoa; Chordata; Testudines; Trionychidae. The record is from RefSeq and is a predicted model, not a curated record.
UUUUCUGCAAAAGUAGCUGCUUUUGCGGAAAAUCAUGCUAGUCUAGAUGCAACCACUUAGUUUAGGCAUGUGUCCAUGUUGCUGGUUUUAUUUUGAAAAUAAAAAUGCAAAACUAAAGUUAAUAUACUGAAUAUUACCGAUAAUGCAAUAUAAAAUAUUUGAGUUUUCAUAGGAGAGUAGCAGUUGACCAAUCAGAGUAACAAGAGAACUCCAUGCAAAAAGGAUAGCAUGAAGAAAACCCAGAUACAUCUCUGGUGAAAGAGAUGAAGGGAGAUGAAAACUUAUUUUUCCCUGGCUGCAGAUUGUCAUAGAAAACCACUGAUUUUUUUUUUAGGCUUUGAUCAUUUACAAUACUUACAUAUAUGCUUAACUUCACACAAUGAGUAGUUCAGUUGAUUUAGUGUAUUAUCUCUCAAGCUCCAAAAAAUAAAGCUGAUUUCACGGAUCAGGCCUAAUUUCACCUGGACAUGUUUGUACAAGAGGCUGAGUUAAUAGCCUCUAUUCAGUUGUCAGUGGGGAAGAAAAAAGUGGCUGUGAAGGAGGUUGUAAACUCCUACCACUGUCAAUAAUGCUGAAAACACACACAAUCCUGCAUUAGCAUUAUAUCAAAACACUUUACUAUGUUGAUUAUAUUUUUAAAAACUUAUUGAAAAUAUAGAAUUUCAUUUUAAAAUGUAAUGUUUUGCUGAGCAACAGCACAGUUUUGGGCUUUACAGGUCCUGUUGGGAGCAGAAGUCAGUGACUUGGAAUUUGGUAUUGUUUUAGUGUAAUUUUCACAGAAGAUGAAGAAAUGAGAGACACUCAAGGGCUCAUGGGCACCUCUGGAAGUCUAGUCCAUCCCACUGUGCUGAGGCAGAAAACAAAAUUACUUAUUAGAGAAGAGUGGUGAAGCAGUUAAAUUACAUUUACCUGCGUGGGAAUUAAGAUGCACUUGAUGCUCCUCCCAGAGGUUGGUUGUAUACGGAUAGCUGCAUCCCAUCAAAGUCUUCCCUAUAUUUGGGCAUACUAGGACAUCCAUGACAUCUUGAGCAGUGUAUACAUGUCAGUUUCCAGAUCCCAUUCUGGUUCACCUGGGAUAUUCCACUGGAACAAGAUAGCAUCAUCAUGUUUUGGACUGUUUGUUUAUUCUCAUGAGUAGCCACUGGACAUCAAACUACUAUCAAAAUUAAGGGAAGCUUAGAAUCCCAAUUUUCCCCCAGGGACAUCAAUUGCCUUUUCAACAUGUUUUUGAUGACCCAGUUUCAUUUUUCAACCCCGAGGCCUGGGGAUGUCCAGCUAUGUGAAAUUGUUCUUCUGUGUUCAAAGGAAAGAAUAGUUGUUUCAUAAGGUCCCCGGUGAAGUGGGGCCCUGAUCAGAAUCAAUUUCAUUUGGGAGGCCAAAUCUAAUGAAGGUAUUGCAUAAAUGCAUACAAUUCCCAAUGAUAUUAGUAGAGAUUCUUAUGCAGUGUGAGGUCAGAAUAGGGUCUAUAUAGAACACUUUAGACCCCUUUGUAUUUAACUAUUGAAAGUAUUUGUUUGUUAGGAAAGUAAAUUAUAGAUAGAUGAUGUAAAAACUAACUAUGUACUGUAUUGAACAAAUACUGCUUCUAUAAUUUUUUUUUAGAGAAAAAGAUCAUCUGCUUUACAUUUCACUAUGCUAUUUAGCUUUUUUGGUAAAAUACCAGAAGUAUACUUACUAAAGUAGGUCAACAGUUUAUUUGAUGCCUCUCUUAAGAACAACUUUUUACAGUACUGUGUAUGUGUUAUGAUUAAAACAUUGAGUCAUUUCUGUCACCAGCUGCAGAGUAUUUUUAGUUGCUUUCACAUUAGGUGCAGAAUUAUUUAAUUUUACUUGUGUU